GCCGGAGGAUGCAAGCGUUAUCCGGAAUGAUUGGGCGUAAAGCGCGCGUAGGCGGCCCGGUAAGUCCGUUGUGAAAGUCAAAGGCUCAACCUUUGAACGCCGAUGGAUACUGCCGGGCUAGAGUCCGGAAGAGGCGAGUGGAAUUCCUGGUGUAGCGGUGGAAUGCGCAGAUAUCAGGAGGAACACCAAUAGCGAAGGCAGCUCGCUGGGACGGUACUGACGCUGAGGCGCGAAAGCGUGGGGAGCGAACAGG
RNAcentral lists this ribosomal RNA (253 nucleotides) under uncultured bacterium. Its description in RNAcentral is "partial 16S ribosomal RNA". It matches the Rfam family "Bacterial small subunit ribosomal RNA", at positions 524 to 776 of the family's 1533-position model. The record is from RNAcentral.